RNAcentral lists this long non-coding RNA (206 nucleotides) under Lathyrus oleraceus (garden pea). RNAcentral's name for it is "Pisum sativum (pea) long non-coding RNA (PSAT_LNC030541)". The record is from RNAcentral. Lineage: Eukaryota; Viridiplantae; Streptophyta; Magnoliopsida; Fabales; Fabaceae.
UUUUUUUUUAGCAGGACCAACCUCGAUUCCUCUCUUACAAUGAACCCCAUCAGCUUACCGGCCCGCACUCUGAUAGUGCACUUGUCUGAAGUCAACCUCCGUUUGAAUUGUCUCAAACAGUUCACUCAGCUUGGUCAGAUCCACCAGAUGCCCCUCUUCUGCUUGGGACUUUGCUAUCAUGUCAUCAACAUAGCAUUUGAUUCCAC